Molecule: ribosomal RNA, 476 nt
Filed under: uncultured bacterium
Lineage: Bacteria
Description: bacterial SSU rRNA
Rfam family: Bacterial small subunit ribosomal RNA
Source: RNAcentral
CGCUAUCACUCCUACGGGGAGGCAGCAGUGGGGAAUAUUGCACAAUGGGCGCAAGCCUGAUGCAGCCAUGCCGCGUGUGUGAAGAAGGCCUUCGGGUUGUAAAGCACUUUCAGUAAGGAGGAAAGGUUAAGUGUUAAUAGCACUUAGCUGUGACGUUACUUACAGAAGAAGCACCGGCUAACUCCGUGCCAGCAGCCGCGGUAAUACGGAGGGUGCGAGCGUUAAUCGGAAUUACUGGGCGUAAAGCGUACGCAGGCGGUUUGUUAAGCGAGAUGUGAAAGACCCCGGGCGUUAACCUGGGAACUGCAUUUCGAACUGGCAAACUAGAGUGUGAUAGAGGGUGGUAGAAUUUCAGGUGUAGCGGUGAAAUGCGUAGAGAUCUGAAAGAAUACCGAUGGCGAAGGCAGCCACCUGGGUCAACACUGACGCUCAUGUACGAAAGCGUGGGGAGCAAACAGGAUUAGAUACCCUGGUAG